UGGGGAAUAUUGGACAAUGGGCGCAAGCCUGAUCCAGCAAUGCCGCGUGGGUGAAGACGGCCUGCGGGUUGUAAAGCCCUUUAAGCGGGGAGGAAAAGUGGAGCGCGAAUAGCGUUUUGCGUUGACGUUACCCGCAGAAUAAGCACCGGCUAACUCCGUGCCAGCAGCCGCGGUAAUACGGGGGGUGCGAGCGUUAAUCGGAAUGACUGGGCGUAAAGCGUGCGUAGGCGGUGUAAUCAGUCAGCCGUGAAAGCCCCGGGCUUAACCUGGGAAUGGCGGUUGAGACGGUUAGACUCGAGUGGGCUAGAGGACUGUGGAACUCCCGGUGUAGCGGUGAAAUGCGUAGAGAUCGGGAAGAACACCGAUGGCGAAGGCAGCAGUCUGGGGCCACACUGACGCUGAGGCACGACGGCGUGGGGAGCAAACA
RNAcentral lists this ribosomal RNA (427 nucleotides) under uncultured Gammaproteobacteria bacterium. RNAcentral describes it as "uncultured gamma proteobacterium partial 16S ribosomal RNA". It matches the Rfam family "Bacterial small subunit ribosomal RNA", at positions 355 to 774 of the family's 1533-position model. The record is from RNAcentral. Lineage: Bacteria; Pseudomonadati; Pseudomonadota; Gammaproteobacteria.